AUUGAACGCUGGCGGCAGGCCUAACACAUGCAAGUCGAGCGGAUGAAGGGAGCUUGCUCCUGGAUUCAGCGGCGGACGGGUGAGUAAUGCCUAGGAAUCUGCCUGGUAGUGGGGGAUAACGUCCGGAAACGGGCGCUAAUACCGCACACGUCCUGAGGGAGAAAGUGGGGGAUCUUCGGACCUCACGCUCUCAGAUGAGCGUAGGCCGGAUUAGCUAGUUGGUGGGGUAAAGGCCUACCAAGGCGACGAUCCGUAACUGGUCUGAGAGGAUGAUCAGUCACCCUGGAACUUGGACACGGUCCAGACUCCUACGGGAGGCAGCAGUGGGGAAUAUUGGACAAUGGGCGAAAGCCUUAUCCAGCCAUGCCGCGUGUGUGAAGAAGGUCUUCGGAUUGUAAAGCACUUUAAGUUGGGAGAAAGGGCAGUAAGUUAAUACCUUGCUGUUUUGACGUUACCAACAGAAUAAGCACCGGCUAACUUCGUG
RNAcentral lists this ribosomal RNA (484 nucleotides) under uncultured bacterium. RNAcentral's name for it is "partial 16S ribosomal RNA". It matches the Rfam family "Bacterial small subunit ribosomal RNA", at positions 30 to 507 of the family's 1533-position model. The record is from RNAcentral.